GGCCCCAUAGCUUAGCCUGGUAGAGCGCUGGUCUUAUAAGCCAGAGGUCCUGGGUUCAAAACGGAGCGACUUCGCUAACGCUUAGUCACUGAGUUUCAGGAGAUAGCGUGAAUCUUUGAGAUUCCCGGUGGGGCCA
Molecule: transfer RNA, 136 nt
Filed under: archaeon
Lineage: Archaea
Description: tRNA-Ile
Rfam family: tRNA (bases 1-58)
Source: RNAcentral